Molecule: ribosomal RNA, 167 nt
Filed under: uncultured anaerobic bacterium
Lineage: Bacteria
Description: partial 16S ribosomal RNA
Rfam family: Bacterial small subunit ribosomal RNA
Source: RNAcentral
CUUGGGAAUUGCACGCAGUCUGAUCAGCCAUGUCGCGUGAAGGAAGAAGGCCCUAUGGUUCGUAAACUUCUUUUGCAGGGAAAUAAAGUGAGGGACGUGUCCUGUUUUGUAUGUACCCUGAGAAUAAAGAUCGGCUAACUCCGUGCCAGCAGCCGCGGUAAUAUAAU